ACGUAGGGGGCGAGCGUUGUCCGGAAUUACUGGGCGUAAAGCGCACGUAGGCGGGCUGUCAAGUCGGCCGUGAAAGGCCUGGGCUCAACCUGUGAAUGGCGGUUGAAACUGGAGGUCUGGAGUAUAGGAGAGGUAGGUGGAAUUCCCGGUGUAGCGGUGAAAUGCGUAGAUAUCAGGAGGAACACCAGUGGCGAAGGCGGCUUCCUGGCCCAAGACUGACGCUGAGGUGCGAAAGCGUGGGUAGCAAACAG
RNAcentral lists this ribosomal RNA (251 nucleotides) under uncultured prokaryote. Its description in RNAcentral is "partial 16S rRNA". It matches the Rfam family "Bacterial small subunit ribosomal RNA", at positions 525 to 775 of the family's 1533-position model. The record is from RNAcentral.